GAACGCUCUUGGGGUUUCGGCCGCAAGGGAGUGGCGGACGGGUGAGUAGCGCGUGGGAACCUGCCUUGGAGUGGGGGAUAACCGAGGGAAACUUCGGCUAAUACCGCAUACGCCCGCGGGGGAGACCUUGCGGGGAAAGAUUGAUCGCUCGGAGAGGGGCCCGCGUCGGAUUAGGUAGUUGGUGGGGUAACGGCCUACCAAGCCAUUGAUCCGUAGCUGGUCUGAGAGGAUGAUCAGCCACACUGGGACUGAGACACGGCCCAGACUCCUACGGGAGGCAGCAGUGGGGAAUAUUGGACAAUGGGCGCAAGCCUGAUCCAGCAAUGCCGCGUGAGUGAUGAAGGCCUUAGGGUUGUAAAGCUACUUUCGGCGGGGACGAUGAUGACGGUACCCGCAGAAGAAGCCCCGGCUAACUUAGUG
This 420-nucleotide ribosomal RNA is filed under the name uncultured bacterium. RNAcentral's name for it is "bacterial SSU rRNA". It matches the Rfam family "Bacterial small subunit ribosomal RNA", at positions 64 to 507 of the family's 1533-position model. The record is from RNAcentral.